This 253-nucleotide ribosomal RNA is filed under the name uncultured bacterium. RNAcentral describes it as "partial 16S ribosomal RNA". It matches the Rfam family "Bacterial small subunit ribosomal RNA", at positions 524 to 776 of the family's 1533-position model. The record is from RNAcentral.
UACGUAGGUGGCAAGCGUUAUCCGGAAUUAUUGGGCGUAAAGCGCUCGCAGGCGGUUUCUUAAGUCUGAUGUGAAAGCCCACGGCUCAACCGUGGAGGGUCAUUGGAAACUGGGAAACUUGAGUGCAGAAGAGGAGAGUGGAAUUCCAUGUGUAGCGGUGAAAUGCGUAGAGAUGUGGAGGAACACCAGUGGCGAAGGCGACUCUCUGGUCUGUAACUGACGCUGAGGAGCGAAAGCUAGGGGAGCAAACGGG